CUCAUUUACAUAUGAUCACUUUUAUUGGAUGUGGAAAACAUCAACAAGAAAAGUACAUUAAGAAAACAAACUAAUGUGGCAAGUUGUUUACAGGUAGUGAAAGAUCUUUCUAUGAAUAGUAUGUGUACUUAUACUGAAGUAUUUCCAUCAGCUUGAACAAUCUAUUUGCAGUGGAAGAAGUAAAGACGCUAACUCUCCUAGAAAAGGUCUCUGAAAUGAAAUUCAGAUAUAUGAA
Molecule: long non-coding RNA, 235 nt
Filed under: Anser brachyrhynchus (Pink-footed goose)
Lineage: Eukaryota; Metazoa; Chordata; Aves; Anseriformes; Anatidae
Description: lncRNA (ENSABRG00000004124.1)
Source: RNAcentral